CAAAAUUGAGUUUUUUAAAACUUAAAAGCUAAAGACAAUCACAGUGGUUUAAAGAAUGUCUCAGAUUUCACGAUUUGGUUCAUUAUUGGUUGGACUUGGCUGUGGUGGAAUCUUGGGAUUAUAUUUGGCUCAAAACUACAAUCUUCCAGAUUUACACACGCUAACUGAGAGACUAUUUGAAAAAACAAGCGAAUACAAGAAAGAUGACAAGAAAUGAUUUUCAGUUGAUCAGAUGAAACACACACAAGUAAAAAAUAUGGUGCUGCUUGGAAAGGUUGGUUGACUGCUUGGGAAGAUUUGAAAAAUGAUUGAGAAGCCGUUAGUGAUGUGAA
This is a long non-coding RNA of Dendronephthya gigantea, 332 nucleotides long. RefSeq lists it as uncharacterized. The transcript is spliced from 4 exons. Lineage: Eukaryota; Metazoa; Cnidaria; Anthozoa; Malacalcyonacea; Nephtheidae. The record is from RefSeq and is a predicted model, not a curated record.